AGUUAAACAGUACGUGAAAUUGUUGAAAGGGAAACGAUUAAAGUCAGUCGUACCUACGAGUAAUCAACCUACACGAGCGCGAUUUUGUGGGUAUGAAGAGGUAAAACCUUCAUGUUUGCAAAUUGGUGUUCUUUGGGCGUACUUUCUCGUAUGGUAGGUUAACAUCAAUUUCGAUCGUUAUAAAAUGACGGGAGGAAUGUAGCUUCGACUUCGGUUGAAGUGUUAUAGCCUCUGGUAGAUGUAAUGAUUGGGAUUGAGGAUUGCAACGGAUACCCUCUGGGCUAUUCGUCUGAUCUCUGGAAGUUACCUUGGUGUCGAAAGCGUGCUUAUGACAUUAAGAAUGACGGCCAAAAGGUUAGAACGGAAUUAAAUUCGUUAAGGAUGUUGACGUAAUGGCUUUAAA
RNAcentral lists this unclassified non-coding RNA (403 nucleotides) under uncultured Rhizophagus. Its description in RNAcentral is "sequence contains 28S rRNA gene". Lineage: Eukaryota; Fungi; Glomeromycota; Glomeromycetes; Glomerales; Glomeraceae. The record is from RNAcentral.